GGGGAGAUCGCGGGGGAACUCUCGCUCUUACCCCGUACAACCUCUUCGUGAGAGCACGGGACCUCCUCGCCUCGUGCGCAUAUAUAAGACCCUGUCUCAUUAUAUAUAUGUGGGGGUAUAGGGCCCCCCCGGGGACAAUACCCAUAUGUGCUGAGAGAAGGAGCUCCCCCACUGUGACUGUGACACGCGCCCCACACCCCCACGAGAGGCCACUGGGGAAUAUAGUGCAAUGUGCGCGCGCCUCUUACCCCCACACCCCGCGGGUGAGAAAAGGCUCCUCGUUGUGAAGACCUUUUGUGGGGAAAAAAAAAAACACACUUAUUACAUGUGUGUGCUGAGGGGACCCCCAGAAUAUACGCCCCGUAUAUUUUCGCCCCCGGACGCGGUAUUACGAGAGGGGCCCGCGUUACUCUGAGUUACAGUGCGUAAAGCGCGCGCAGAGGUGUGUGUAAGACUGUUGUGUAAAACCUGUGGUCUACAUGUGAAUAGCGCUGUAGACAGUGCGAGUCUAGAGUGUGAUAGAGUAUAGUGAUUCCUCUUGUGUCACAGUGAUGCGUAGAGAUCAGGAGGAACAUCUCUGGCGAGAGCGCAUACCUGUGCACCACACUGACACUGGGCACGAAAGCGUGGGGAGCAAACAAUAAUAGAUACUGUGAUAGUCCACGCUAAACGAUGCGAACUGGUGUGGGUGCAAUUGGCACGCAGUAGAAGCUACGCGUUGUUCGCCGCCUGGGGAGUACGGUCGCAAGACUGAAACUCAAAGGAAUUGACGGGGGCCCGCACAAGCGGUGGAGUAUGUGGUUUAAUUCGAUGCAACGCGAAGAACCUUACCUGGCCUUGACAUGUCGAGAACUUUCCAGAGAUGGAUUGGUGCCUUCGGGAACUCGAACACAGGUGCUGCAUGGCUGUCGUCAGCUCGUGUCGUGAGAUGUUGGGUUAAGUCCCGCAACGAGCGCAACCCUUGUCCUUAGUUGCCAGCACGUAAUGGUGGGAACUCUAAGGAGACCGCCGGUGACAAACCGGAGGAAGGUGGGGAUGACGUCAAGUCAUCAUGGCCCUUACGGCCAGGGCUACACACGUACUACAAUGGUAGGGACAGAGGGCCGCAAACCCGCGAGGGCAAGCCAAUCCCAGAAACCCUAUCUCAGUCCGGAUUGGAGUCUGCAACUCGACUCCAUGAAGUCGGAAUCGCUAGUAAUCGCAGAUCAGCAUUGCUGCGGUGAAUACGUUCCCGGGCCUUGUACA
This 1245-nucleotide ribosomal RNA is filed under the name Stenotrophomonas maltophilia. Its description in RNAcentral is "bacterial SSU rRNA". It matches the Rfam family "Bacterial small subunit ribosomal RNA", at positions 139 to 1387 of the family's 1533-position model. Lineage: Bacteria; Pseudomonadati; Pseudomonadota; Gammaproteobacteria; Lysobacterales; Lysobacteraceae. The record is from RNAcentral.